UACGAAGGGGGCUAGCGUUGCUCGGAAUCACUGGGCGUAAAGGGUGCGUAGGCGGGUCUUUAAGUCAGGGGUGAAAUCCUGGAGCUCAACUCCAGAACUGCCUUUGAUACUGAAGAUCUUGAGUUCGGGAGAGGUGAGUGGAACUGCGAGUGUAGAGGUGAAAUUCGUAGAUAUUCGCAAGAACACCAGUGGCGAAGGCGGCUCACUGGCUCGUUUCUGACGCUCAGGCACGACAGCGUGGGGAUCAAACAGG
Molecule: ribosomal RNA, 253 nt
Filed under: uncultured bacterium
Lineage: Bacteria
Description: partial 16S ribosomal RNA
Rfam family: Bacterial small subunit ribosomal RNA
Source: RNAcentral